Molecule: long non-coding RNA, 374 nt
Organism: Polypterus senegalus (gray bichir)
Lineage: Eukaryota; Metazoa; Chordata; Cladistia; Polypteriformes; Polypteridae
Exons: 3
Source: RefSeq, a predicted model, not a curated record
AAAAUUUGUGUUUUGGCAUGACAUCCCUAACAAAUCUUACUAGGAGGGCUCACUAACAGUGCUGGGCUAGUUUGUAAUAAAACAGGAAGCUAUAAGAGACAAACGACAGUGCUCUGUAACAUGGUAUCAAGGCAACUCCUCCAUGUUCUUGACAAAGUGCUGCUAGGCCCUUACAACUCCUGGGGCUAAAGACCUAACAAUGACUGGAAAACUACCAUGGACCUUGAGUUAGACACCAUCCCUUUUGAAAAUGGCCAUGAAGCAGCAGACUCAGCUUCUCUUGCAGGGCCAACCAAGACAUAAUCCAACACUAUGAAAUCAGGCAAGCCUAAAUUUAGCGAUAGAAAAGCUCUGAGGAAAGCUGUUGAUUUCAA